Molecule: long non-coding RNA, 1237 nt
Organism: Scylla paramamosain (green mud crab)
Lineage: Eukaryota; Metazoa; Arthropoda; Malacostraca; Decapoda; Portunidae
Exons: 4
Source: RefSeq, a predicted model, not a curated record
CAGCAAUGGAACACCUGUGUCAUUAGUUUGUGUAGUGAUCGUUAAUUGUACGUGACAGUAGUGCAGCCAAGGAAGGUUUAGACUCUCUAGCUUCCAUGGUGCAGACUUUGCCGGGAGAAGCCAGCGGGCGUGGGUACUGAGCGCCGACAGUGGGGAGUGUGGUGCUGCAGGUCUGAUGUUCCUUGCCUGAUUUCCUCCGUGGCGGCGCCGGACAGCAGUAGGAGCGAGGUGAUGAAGGACACGUGGACCUGUGGAUUGUGUUUAUGUCAGUGUUGGGUCGCCCUCAAUGGGUCUCAAGUGAGGAGGAGGAUCUGUGCAGCCUCUCAGGACUCCUGCUGGGGGAAAUUGCUCUGCUCGAGGGAUCACGGUAAUGUCACAGAGAGCAAGUAGAAGAAAACCUGGGAGACUUGCUUAACUCAGGAACAAGAGCUGCACCUCACCGGAGCUCUGCAAUGUGUGGCAGCGAUUGCACGAAUCAACACUCGGGUUUGUCAGCACACAGUCAUAGCGACUUUGUUCAUCAGACUGUUGGUGAAAGAUUCCACAGACCGACUGGGAGACACACAAUGUCAGUGCCACCGCACAGGGAGUGAGGCCCAAGAGGAGGAAGAGGAGCAUCCAAGAGACAUCAGCUGGCCAGCAGUCCAUUCAGGUGUGCCUUUCAUUACAUCAUUAUUUGUCCAUAGUUUCCCUUCUGGGGUUGGACAGACCAUGAGUAUCUCCCACUUGCAGCUGUAGACAAUUUCUUCGUUAUUGUUAAGUGUUAUCAUGCCUUCCUCCACACACCAUCUCAAGGUCUUCCCAGUGGUUUCCUUCCAAGUACUCUGAUGCUCUCUUCAGUUAGUGGCCCUGAUUUGUAAGUGCCAGGAAGACUGUAUGGAUAAGGCAGACCACAAACCUUCUGCUAGAUGUGGAGUGGUGAAUGGCAGCAAAAAUACUGGCAGCAUCUGAUUCUUUGCACCAAAAUAGUGUUCUUGUUAACAGAUUUAUUCACUGCUCACUCAUUCACUCAUCUCUGAAGGAGUGAACAGUGUGCACUGAAGUAAGCAUUGCAACUGGUGUGUGUGUGUGUGUGUGUGUGUGUGUGUUUCUGGUGAUGGAGUUUAAUAACAGGGUUUUGUCAUCUUGAAAGAUUUCAUAAAAGUACUGAAUCUGAUUUGGAAUUCAUGUUGCAAUAAAAACUCUCCCUCCUUUGCAACAAUUUCACAAGUGUAUACAGGAAGCGAAGGAUGAAGCA